CACUCUCCCCCUCUCGUCCCACAGCCGCCACCCCAACCCUCUCGAUCCCCAACCACCCAGCCGCCACCAGUGCCGUCCUCUGUCCUCUCCCCCAACCCUGGCCGCCGGCAACCCCUCCCCUCCCCUUCUCUCCCAAGGCCGCGGUCGGAUCCGCGCUCCCUCCUCGCUCAUGACAUAGACCUAGCCGCAUGGCAUGGCCAUGGCCAUGGCGGCGGCCAGAUCCACCCCCUCCCCUGCUCCGUUCCCUCGACGCCCGGCGGCCAGAUCCACCACCUCCCCUGCUCCGUUCCCUCUCUCCCAGAUCCAUACGCAGCCGCCGCCAUCCUAUCCCCUUCCCUCACCUCACAAUCUCCCUCUCCCCGACCCAUACCUCCCUCUCUCUGCCAUCCCAACCCCUACCCCGCCGCCGGCCUCCCCCAUCCCCACCGCCGACGACCUCCUCAUCUCCCACAACCUUAGCCCCGCCGCCGCGUCCCUCCUCCUCCUCUCCCACCGCGCACAGAUCGGCGAGGCACCACAUCUGGUGGCUGACGUCUCCGCCUCCGCCGGCCAGGUGCUCGUCAAGCGGCUCCAGGAGUCUCCGCCUCCGCCGGCUCCGCCGGGCGCCCCCGCCGUGGUGGCGUUGGUCCGGCAGGUGAUGGCAUCGGCGGAGCUCGGGGCCAAGGUGGGGCGGCAGCUCGGAGCUCCGGCGCACCGAGGGCAACGCGUGCUUCCGCAAGGCCCGCGUCGGUGCCGCCAUCGACUGCUACACCGAGGCGAGCGCGCGCACCCCCCAAAACCUCCUCCUUCCUCCCCCAAUCCCCUUCUUCGCGGCCGGCGAUUCGAUCCGUGGAAUCCCCUCCGGUUAUCGAAUGCAAGAAUUGAUUGGUUGGUUUCCAGGCGAUUGCGCUGUGCCCCGGCGUCGCGGUCUACUGGGUGAACCGGGGCCUCUGCCACUUCCGCCGCAAGGACUGGGCCAGGGUCGAGGAGGACAGCAGGAGGGCGCUCGCGCUCGACGAUGCCUCCGUCAAGGGACACUAUCUGCUAGGGUGCGCUCUGCUCGAUAAGGAGGACUGCGCUCUCGCCGUCAAGGAGUUCGAGAAGGUGACCCAAGGUUGCUGAAGAGGAGCAGCAGCCGCACAAGAGUAUCUGAAGAUGACUCCUCCGUUUCUAACCCAUCCCCUUCCUUCCACUGUUUUGGAUGAUGAACUUGAUCCUGCUUAAUUAAUUAAUUUCUCAUCGUGCUUAAUUAGUUGUAAAUGUGCCCCCUUAUUGAAGAAGAAGAAGAUAAUACAAAUGUAAUUUAAUUGGAUGGUCCCUUUCAUCGUGCUUAAUUAGCUGUAAAUGUGCCUCCCUUACUGAAGAAGAUAAGAAUCCAUAUGUCUUAUGCAAAAUUAACUUUGUCAUCUUGUAAGCACUCUAGGCAGUGUCUAGAGGGUGAAAAUAUGAGAACAAAAAAGAAUUACUGGAUUAAUUUAAAACAUCCAUCCUUUACUCCGUCCAUGUCAUUGUUAUUUACCCCUGGGAGUAUUUUUAACUUGAAAAUCUCUGGUGAACUGCCAUUUCAAGUACAUUUGCUUGCUCUGUUAAUUUUUUGGGUUAAUCCAUCUUGCUCUGUUAAGUUAAAUUUGAUAUGUGGAGUAGCAGCAGUAAGCUAGACCCUCCAUCUUGCUCUGUACAUAGUCAAAGCUACUCCAAGUUAGCAGCAAUACUGUUAACUUCUCAAUUUGCUUGGAUUACAUUUAACUUCUAGUACUCCAGUAGUCUAGUAAUUUUGCUUAGAGUAUUUAACAAGAUUGAACUGUACAUGUGUGGAGUAAUUUUGCUGGGAGUAUUUAACAAGAUUGAUAGUGGGUUCUAUGCAUCCCCAUUUAUGAGUUAUGCAGAAUAAGAAUUACAAUUUGCUGCAAUUCAGAUGUUUUGAAUUCUUCAAUCUUGAAUUGUUCAAUGAUGAUAGCUAUCUUGCAUCGUACUAUAAAAUCAUGGAUCGGCAACUAGGUGAUUGUCAAUCUGUUCUUGCUAGAUGUGUUGUUGUUUUUCUUCUUCUAAGAUAAGAUGGUAGCAUCACAUGUCAUCCUAUCAUGUUGUACUAGUUCCUGAAGUGUAAGAUAAGAUGGUGGCAUCAGAUGUGUGUUCUGACUUGUGACUGCUUACUACAUGGAUACAUGCAACUAGCUAGCAACCUAGCAGUACUAGUAAGAAUAUAUGUGACUAAUUCCCUCCCUAUACCUUGUGAUUGAUUCCAGGUAUAUACAGAUGCCAUCUUUGUCUGGCAACAUAUGCACCUGAUUACAUUCAGGUGCAUAUAGUAUACUUGAACAGUGUAAACAUAUGCAUCUGCAAAAUUAUCUCAUUCAUAGUGUGGUGCCUAUGUAUACCAGUUAUCAAUUGGCUUGAUUUAGGCUUUUGAUAGUCAGUGUCUCAGUGACAGAAAUAACUCAAAAGCUAUACCUUUAGCUGUGCUGGCAAUCGAAUGUAUAUAAUCGUAACCGUUAGUUAUUACCGUAGCUAGCAGAUCUCUUUAGUAAGCAGUAACUGGUAGUUCUCAUAAUCCAUCCCAUAGAUUACUUCCCCAAUGUGUGUUCCAAGGGCUUUACCUGUUAGAAUUGAUGCUUGUUUCUACUAAGUGUUGCACUUGUUUCUACUAAGUUUUAACUGUGAAUCUGUUGUUUCACAUAUACUAUAUACAACUGAUGCCUUGAAGAAGUCAGCUCCCCUUGGAUGGUGCAGUGUAGCAAAUAAAUGUUGAUUCAUUCAUUCUUUGAUGUUGGCUUUCAUUCUUCCAAAGUUGGGUGUACAUGAGCUCUAGGAAGAAUCCCGAAGAUAAACCACACCCAGCAAUGUGUUUUAGCUCACUAGAGAUAGUUAUGCUUGCAGCUAGUUAUGUGUAUAUUUAGUUAUAUUUUAUAGCUGAAUACCAGAAUUGUACUAUGCUUGGCUGUUGUAUGAAAUAUUAUGCCUUAUUGGCUCUUUUUGAAUCAAAUUAUCUAAUUGCACAAAUA
Triticum urartu is the source of this 2981-nucleotide non-coding RNA. The record is from RefSeq and is a predicted model, not a curated record. NCBI's taxonomy places the organism in Eukaryota, Viridiplantae, Streptophyta, Magnoliopsida, Poales, Poaceae.